Molecule: long non-coding RNA, 13180 nt
Filed under: Homo sapiens (human)
Lineage: Eukaryota; Metazoa; Chordata; Mammalia; Primates; Hominidae
Description: non-protein coding lnc-PERP-2:13
Source: RNAcentral
ACUGCUUUUCUGAGAGGCCAGGUGGCAGGAUGUGGGACGACUCCAGCUGACAAAGACAGUCUAACCGUGGGGUAGGGGCUGGAGCAGGGGCCAGCGACCCACGUCUACAUGCAUACUUCUCUUACACUGCUGCUACUGGAAAAGCUGAACCCCGCGCCAGGACCCCAGCCCCCUGCAAGGACCCGUGAGCGUCUGGGAAGCUGUCUCUGGGACUGAAGCCCCCCACCUCCGCCGGGCUGGCGGCCACUGCGGUACCCUACGCCCCGUCGGGCUGGUCCUGCACAAUUUGGGAAAAAGCCGCAGCGCUUCUGCAAGGUCUACGUGGCCAUGAGCAUGCAACGCUUGGCUCCAAAAAAGACACGAAAGGAGCAAAGCGCCAACGACCACCCGAUCGGAGGGCCCGAGGGGCGCCUCUUCACCAGUCAGCUGCAGCUUAAGUUCCGUGCAUUAUCUGAAAGGAACAGCUGGCUGGAGGUAUCCAGGGCUGUCACUCCAACCUCUGCAGCAGUGACCUCAACUCCCAGCACUUCAAAACCCAGACAGAAACGUCCAACAAACUCCCAGUCCAGGAGCGCUGCAAAACCAACGCCAGUUGUUUUUCUGCAGAAAAUCAUCAACUGUGGAGAAGAAGAAGGGAAAUAAGAAAGAAAGAAAACCCUAAAAACCACCCUGGCGCCCGGGCCCGCAGGCCUCGGGCCGGCUCUGAAAAGUUUGGGCUGUGCACGUGAUGAGCGCGUAGGCGGGAGCCCCAGACAGGACCCGGGCGGGCAUUUCGAGAAAAAGCAGCGGUGACAGCCUUUGGUCCCCAUCUCCAUUGUUCCUGCCAGCUCUGGACCCCAGGCUGCAUGAGACGUAGGUCCCAGGGGACACCCGACCCCGUGGCCCCAGUCUUAGGUAAACUUAGGAAUCAGAACAACACUCACCCCUAUGCCGCGCUUGCUCCAUUUCCCCUUGUCUAUUUCUGCUCACCAAGCAUCCAGCUGACAUUGCAUUCAAAGCAGCAUUUCAGCUUAGAAAUCGCUUCUAGUCCAUCACGGUGCUUGCCAUGUGUCUCCAAGGCUUUAUUAGGUGUGUUUUUAGUUGUCCUGAUAAUCAGUUCACCCCAGGGUGCUGAUGGCUGAUAAUACUGGCGCUUCCCUCCCUACCCCCAUGCGUUGCACAGGGAGGGUGAGUCAUGUGGAGAUGGAUGCAGCCCCCUGGGCAGUGGGGGUGCAGGUGCUGUGCAGGGAGGAGUCUUAGGGCGUUUUUACUGUCUUACUGCCCUCUAAGCACGGGACCCUUUGGAUCAUUUACUAGAUUGGCUAAACUAGAACCGGAUGGAAAUAUUCUGUACUAUGGUCCCCUUAAUUACAUUUAAGAAUACUUGUCAGGCCAUAUAUCACAGGUUUUUAAUUAGAAAAGUAUCCUCCUCUCGCCAGUAAGGACUUGCAGAGAUGGGGGUGGGGGCUGGAUGGAGGGUGGCACUUUUUUGGCAAAAAGAAGUUUGGAGCAGAGUGUCACUAGUGGCCUCUCUGAAGACUGGUCCUCGUCUUUUAAAACCGAUGGCUGGAAUUUCUUCCAGUUCCAAACCUCUUGUUAUUUGUCCUCUCUUCUUGUUCACAAAUGUGCUAUCAACAUUCAAACAAUGGAUAGUCAGCUAUCCAUUGUAAAUGGACCUUGCUGGAGUCCAGGGCUAGCAGAAAUGACAGGGUCUAAAAUGACAUUUAUCAAGUACUUGCUAUAUGCUUAUAUAUGCUUUUUAUAUGAAGGUUAAGAAGCUUGAGGCAUUUGCCCAGUUUCCACAACCAAAAGGGGCAGAGUCGCCAGUGGCAUUAAGCCUGUGUUACUCCAAAGCCCAUAAUGACCAGUCUUACUAGACCAUUCCUCUCAGGAAAGAUCCUGUGAGACAGGUACUCUUUUGGUGUCCUGUCUCCCAGCCUCUCAAAACAGCCAAACACGGACCUUAGACAGAAUGCGGCUUCAGAGGUAGAAGGGUCUUGGUUUCACCUUCAGGAAACCUCCUGGGUUUCAGUUGAGCUGGCAGAAGAAGAUCAUGUAUCUGAAAGACCCUGCAUGGAAUGUUAAUCCUCACACCACUCUCCUGCUGGUGCUCCUUUGUAAACAGAGUUGGCCUGUUUCCUCUCAUCUCUGGCUCCAUGACUUCAAUCCUCCUGCAGCUUCCACUGCCCCUAUCUGGCUCAUGUCUUGCUGUCUGGUGUCAUGAACUGGGAGUGCAGUAAAGAGGAGUGACAAGCCUGAGGGGCCACGUUCAUACCUGCCACUGCCAACUGUCCUGAUGUAACUGCUUUGUCAUCUUGCCUGCCAGGAUUUGUGACAAGGUAAUAGCAGUCAGAUGCAGGAGUGGUCUAUAGCCCUGGAUUAUGUUCGAACUCCACUUUCCAUGAUUCUACUGCUGGGCUUGUGAAUUGCCACUCCCACCACCAGGCGGUCUUUACUGUCCUUUCCACCUUCUAAAUCAGCGCUGUGUUGGGCUGUACCCUUGCCUUUUCCCCUUCUAUUAUGUAACACAUGGACAAGACCAAUGACAAUUUUCUUGGUGAAUCAGAAGGAAAGAAAAGAAGAGAAGGAGAGAGUAUAGAUGGAAUGCCUUCUUAUGAAAAAAAGGAGAAAUACAAUUUGGGGAGAUUUGUUGAAUAAGUUGAAACCAAAGAGAUAUAGAAUGCUGAAAAGCCUUGAAGGAGAUUUAAUUUGAGCUAUAGGCCUUGUCAAGAUGGACAGAACUCUUUAAAGAAGAGAAUAUUUAUUAACAUUUAGUAGACACUUAGGAGAAAAAAUAUGUCUCCUUAUUAGAUGAAAAAGGAAUUCUGAUUAUGUGAAAUAUUUUUGGAGAGUUCCUAAGUUACGUGCCAUUUUGACACCAAUGCUGGGGUUUAUGGGUCAUGAACUAUGUAAAAUGAGCACACAUGACCUCUUGGAAUUAAACGGUUCCCGUGAGACUGUGCUUGCAGCCUGUAUCCCUGUACCAUGCAGUAAAAAAGAUGUGCUUGCCCAGAUGGGGGGAGCAGGAAGAACCUGAUGAAAGAGAGCACCACGUGUGACAAGUGAGAGGAGACCCUGCUGAGCUCAAACAUAUUUCAUGAGCCUUUCUUAAUCAAGAAUCAGCAACAGUUGAUUGGUUGUUGAUUCUUUUUUUUUUUUUUGAGACGUCGUCUUGCUCUGUCGCCCAGGCUGGAGUGCAGUGGCGCGAUCUCAGCUCACUGCAAGCUCCGCCUCCCGGGUUCACGCCAUUCUCCUGCCUCAGCCUCCCGAGUAGCUGGGACUACAGGCGCCCGCCACUACGCCCGGCUAAUUUUUUGUAUUUUUAGUAGAGACGGGGUUUCGCCGUGUUAGCCAGGAUGGUCUCGAUUCUCCUGACCUCGUGAUCCACCCGCCUUGGCCUCCCAAAGUGCUGGGAUUACAGGCGUGAGCCACCGCGCCUGGCCCCUGGUUGUUGAUUGUUAAUUAGCAUGCGUCUGCAGUCCCAGCUACUCGGGAGGCUGAGAGGGAAGGGUCCUUUGAGUCCGGGAGUUUGAGUCUAUCCUGGGCAACAUAGUAAGACCCAUGUUUCUAAAAAUUAAAAAAAUAAAAAAGAAGAAAUUAUGUAUUUUUAAUAAUCAGUGACACUCUCUUUCUGAGACUGUACAGAAUUCCAGGGCAUGGCAGUCAUGGGCCAAACUAAAACUGGACCUUUUGUGUCUUUUGUACAAUUGCCCCCUCCCCUUUUCCCUGCACUGUGCUCUAUUGGAAAGGCAGAUUCAUAGAAAACAUAUUGGGAAGCAGCCUUAGGUAACUAUGGCAGCUUAGUUAUUGUAGGGUAGCUUUGAAUCAUGUUUCAGAUUUUCAAAUUCUGCCUCAAACAUUACUAAAGGGUAACGUUUGCACAUUCAAGGCCACUACAAGGGCUAGUUCUGAGAAUAAAGAGAAGCUUUCUGUGGAUUAUAACCGUGAGAACUGGGAUAAUGAUGUCAUAAAUUUCAUCAUCCUAUGAAUGCCAAAUUCUACUGAAUGUUGCUUCUUAUCUAGGGACCUCAGAUCCUUUACAUGUGUUAUCUGGACUGAAUGGAGAAACCCAAGACCCACCAUGGUGGAGGGACAACUGAAGUCCUUAGUGACCCAGUGAGUCAUAGUACCAGGAUCAAAGACCCUCCACUGGGAAGGAGGCAGUUGGUGUAAUGACAAGUACAGUUCCUUCUGUUGCACUUUGCCUGAAAGCGUGCGAUGCUGACAUCUCAAACUUGUCAGAAAAUCCACUAUCCCUGUGAAUUCUGUUUUAUUUCCUGUCAACACUUGGCUGAAACACUUGGGAAAGUAAUUUUAUUUUACAUCAUAAAUAUAAAUAUUCAAUUCUUAGUUUCAUUUAUGUUUCUGUGAAGGCUGCUAUUAAUGACCAAAUAGGAUGUUAGAAAGCCCAGAAAUGGGUGUUAUUAGGAACGAGCUAGAAAGCAGUGUUGGUUUUAGCAGUAAGCCCGGUGUUUCUGAGAUAAAUUAGUUCCUGUUACUUGGAAUAGUGCAAGCCAUUGUGAAAAUUUGCCUUGACAUUCCCCUUUCUCAUUUGUCCCUCAAUCCCUUCAGUCUAGUUUGGGGUCUCUAUAAUCCUGCUCCUUUGGCUGCCAGCCAUCUCCAUAAAAAAAGAAUUUGAAAGGCUUCCAUUCUUUCAGAGACCUGUUUCCCGGGACUGGCUGCAAGGGAGAGAUGCACUGACCUUCUGCCAGGUAUAGAACUAUUGAAUGGUACAGUUUGAGAUCUUCGAAACCAUCAGGACUGAUCAUUUUCUGGCUACUUUCUACAUAGGAAUCCUAGAGUUCCUUGGAGAGGAUAUGAAGGUUAUUCUCAGGCCAUGCAGAUGGGCAAGAAAGGAUGUGCGUCCAUGGUUCCUCUUCAAAUCCAACCAAAACAGCCUUGCUUCCGUUGGCUUUAUAUAAUACUGCAACUCUUGAUAAUCUGAUUUAACACAAAUUUCCUCAUUGAGUUUCUCCUCAUGAAGAAACGGCCUCAGUGAGGUAAAUCGGAAUGCACAGGAGCACAUAGCAGGUUAGUGCAGACCAGAAAUCAAACCCAGGCUUUCUGACUGCUCAAUAGACCACAAUCUACCAUGCUACCAUGGAAACUUUAAAACAGAUGAAAGUAAAAACAAACAAACAACAACUUAAAAAAACAAAAACAAAAACAAAAGCAAAACCCAGAGCCUCUCUAGGAAAUACCAACGUGCUUUUGCCAAGUGGGGUUUCUCUCACUUCAUAAGAGCAGUAAACACUAAACCAAGGGAAUGUGAAUUUAGAGGUUAGAAAAGAUAACCAGAGAUUUGGCCGUGCGUGGGGCUCAUGCCUGUAAUCCCAGCACUUUGGGAGGCUGAGGCUGGUGGGUUGCCUGAGGUCAGGAGUUUGAGACCAGCCUGGCCAACAUAGUGAAACCCUGUCUCUACUAAAAAUACAAAAAUUAGCUGGGUGUGGUGGCGUGCACCUGUAAUCCCAGCUACUAGGGAGGCUGAGGCAGGAGAAUCGCUUGAACUGGAGAGGUGGAGGUUGCAGUGAGCCGAGAUGGUGCCAUUGCACUCCAGCCCGGGCAAGAAGAUUGAAAUUCCAUCUCAAAAAAAAAAAAAAAAGAAGAAGAAGAAGAAAAGAUGCCAGAGAUUUGGCGGGGUGCCGGGCUCAUGCCUGUAAUCCCAGCACUUUGGGAGGCCAAAUGGACAGAUCACUUAAAGUUAGGAGUUCCAGAAAAGAUGCCAGAGGUUGGGCCUUUACAUUGUUUUGUAAAUUCGUCAAACCUUAAUCUUAUUUAACUUCCCCACCUAUACAAAAAUUAAUGCAGUAAUUGCUUUUUAAGGAAGCAUUCCAAAGGCCAAAUAAUUCAUAUAUGUCAAGUACCCUGGGAUUCAGGAAAGAAAAAUUCUCUAUAGCUCUAAAGCAAGGAUUAUAAUUUGAGGUUUCCUGACAGUUUUUUUUAAGAAAAGAAAUACCAACCUUUCUUUUCUGGGCCAAAUGCCAAGGUAGGUAAUAACCCCUUGCCCAUUUUCUUUCCCCAAGCUGUUUUAACUAGAUAAGAGCUCUGCCUUCAUUUCCUUUUGUGAACUGACUUGGGAUGUUGCCACAUGCCCUUCAACUACUGUCAAUGCUCUAGUUUGCUGAGUGCUUUCCCCUUCAGAAUGGAAAAGGUUUUGGCAUAAAUAUCUAGCUUUCUUCAAGGUACAAAAUGCUUUCCAAGGAGCAGAGGACAGAGGGAACAAACUUUCAUGUUUCCCAAUUGUAUUAGUCUGUUCUCAUGCUGCUAAUAAAGACAUACCCAAGACUGUGUAAUUUAUAAAGGAAAAAGGUUUUACUGACUCACAGUUCCACAUGGCUGGGGAGGCCUCACAAUCAUGGUGGAAGAUGAAGGAAGAGCAAAGGGAUGUCUUCCAUGGCCAGCAAAAAGAGAAUGAAAGCCAAGGGAAGGAGAAAACACCUUAUAAAAUCAUCAGAUCUCAUGAGACUUAUUCACUACCAUGACAACGGUAUGGGUGAACUGCCCCCAUGAUUCAGUUAUCUCCCACCGGGUCCCUCCCACAAAAUGUGGGAAUUAUGGGAGCUACAAUUCAAGAUGAGAUUUGGGUGGGGACAGAGCCAAACCAUAGCACCAAUACUAGAUCCCUCAGCUUCAAGGUGGCUCCAGUGAUCCUAAGAGGAUCAAGGAAGCCCUACCUCCCUGCUUGUCCUGGAUGUCUCUGACACAUGUUAAGGGAAAAGCAUUAAUAAAGUGCUCAAGAAACAAUUGUUCAAUAGGUCAGUCUUAUAGUCAAUACCUCAUCCCAUGCUCUGUCCCCUACUCUUUGAAAAACUGCCCAAAGAAACAAUGGAUCCACGGAGUCACAAAAACAGGGCAUCCAGUGACCCUCCCCAUCUUACCAGCAAUGUGACUUUCCCACAGUAUAACGACAGCAGUGCCCAGAGCCCAAUACAAGCAGGGCUCUACACUGAGACAGAGCUGAGUUCUAGUAGCAACUACCCUCCUUAUAGCAGUGUUAUUUUAGGCAAGUUUCUCAGCUUCUGGAAGGUUCUUUUCUCAGGCUUACAUACUUUUUACCCGAAAAGAUCUUGGAGUCGUCCAUAUCAGCACAAGCAAUCUACAUUAUUAGUUUUUUUAAUGGCUGCACAGCAUUCCAUGAUAUGGCUGUACCAUUACUUAACUAUCGAUGAACAUUUAGGCAGUUUCCAGUCUCUUUCUGCAGGAGCCAAUGCUGCAAUGUGGUGGGUCAUAACUUUUUCUUUUUUUCAAAUGUGGUCUCACUAUUUCUUCCAGGCUGGAGUGUAGUGGUAUGAUCACAGCUCACUGCAGCCUCGAACUCCUGGACUCAAACAAUCCUCCUGUCUCAGCCUCCAGAGCAACUGGGAGUACAGGUGUGUGCCACCAUGCCUGACUAAGUUUUUAAAUUUUUUGUAGAGAUGGGGUCUUGCUAUAUUGACCAGGCUGGUCUUGAACUUCUGGCCUCAAGAAAUCCUCCCACCUGGGCCUCCCAGAGUGCUGGGAUUACAGGAAUGCACCACUGUGCCCAGCCCUAAAUAACUAUUUUUAUUUCCCUUUCUGUAACCGCUCAUCUUUUGUGCAUUUUUCCUUGGGUAUUGGCCUUCUUAUCAAAGUUUAAGAACUGUUUAUAUAUAGGGAUUAACCCUUAGUCUGUUGUAUGAAUUGCAAAUAUACAUGUAUUUUUAUUUGUAUAUGCAAAGUUUGUCUUUUAUCUUUGUAUAUGGGAUAGUUUUCCAAACACAGUUUUAUUUUAUUUUAUUUUUCAUCUUGCAUGUCUUUCCAAAGUACCAAGCAGAGUUUUUUUAAAAGUUGUUUUAUGGCUUCUGGGUUUUUUAAGUCAUAUUUAGAAAGAUCUUUCCCACUCUGAAAUUAAAAAAAUAAAUAAAUAAAAUCUCCCAAUUAAAAAAAAUUUGUGACUUUGUUUUUCAUAUUUAAAUAUUUAUUCCAUCUGGAAUUUAUUUUAUUUUAAGCUGUAAAGUAGAGACCUCAUUUUAUUGUAUUUCUCCAUAUGGCCACCCAGUUGUUACAAUACCAUUUACUAAAUAAUACAUCAAUUGCCACUGAAUUUAGCAUACCAACUGAAUUUAGCAUGUACUAAAUUUUCAUGUGUGUUUUGUUUGUUUGUUUGUUUUUGAGACAGAGUCUCGCUCUGUCACCCAGGCUGGUGUGCAGUGGUGCGAUCUGGGCUGACUGCAACCUCUGCCUCUCAAGUUCAAGCGAUUCUCUUGCCUCGGCCUCCCAAGUACUGGUACUACAGGUGCCUGCCACCACACCUGGCUAAUUUUUGUAUUUUUAGUAGAGACAGGGUUUUGCCUUGUUGCCAGGUUGAUCUUGGACUCCUGACCUCAAGUGAUCCUCCUGCCUCAGCCUCCCAAAGUGUUGGGAUUACAGGCGUGAGCCACUGCGCCCAACCCUUCUGUGUGUAUUUUGAUGUAUUGGACUUUCUAGUCUGUUCCAUUAAUUUCUUGUCUGUUCUUAGGCAAAGAAAGCAUUGUUUAAAUCGGAAUUUUGUAACAUGCUUUACUGUCUAAUAGAGUAUCUUCUAACUUUUUUCUAUGAUUUUCCUCGCUAAUGUUACUUGUUUAUUUUUUCAUAUGAACUUCAGUAUCCAUUAAUCUAGUCUUCCCCCGACUCCCAACAAAAUUAAUUACUAUUUUGUGAGGGGUAGUGCAUUAAACUUAUGAAUUAAUUUAGGAUGACUUAACAUAUUUAUGAUAUUGGACCUUUUUACUGAAGAUUAUGAUAUGCCUAUUUAACUUUUUGUGCUCCUCAGUAGUAUUUUGAAGUUUCUAAGUAUAGAUGUCAUAGAGUGUUUAAAUGUGAAGAGGGUAUAAUAAUGGUACUUCCUGCAAAGAGUUAUUGUAAAGAUUAAAUGAAGAUAAUAGUCAGUGCCUGGUCAUAACACACACUUAAAAAAUUAAAGCAUGACAAAUGCACACUUAUCGCCAUAUCCUGGACUAUGUGUGACUAAUCUAAUAAGAUAAAUCGGUCUUUCAAUAAUCUCAAAUUUCCAUGGUUGUGACUCACACUUGGCUCUACCCUUGAAAUAGGAACUCUUUUUCUACUUAUGUCGCACUCACUAUGUCCUGCUCACCUCUGUGAAAAGUGAAUUGAGACAACCAGAAGUCCCACUAGGGGUAUCUGUGGCCAUCUUUGGACAGGAGAUAUUCAGGGUAUGGCUGCCGUGCCGAUCAAGGGAAGUAUCAGGACCCAGAAAGAGGUGAUUGCAUAAAAGUCACAUUUCACAUCUCUCUUGACAACUCUGGACAGGAGGAAGAAAAUAUUAAAAAUACAUUACAGCUUUCAAAGCUACUUUAUUUUUGUUUUGAAGGUAGAGGAUCUCCCUCCAUAGGAUAACAGGGGGGUUGAUAAGAUUGCUCAGAUGUCGAUCACAUGUAGAGUCUGGAUUUAUUGUCUCCCGACACUCAGCACCCCAUAUCCAUAUAUGUAAUACACCUUAUGGCACGCUCACUGUAUACUAAGUAUGAGCUAACUGUUUUAUUCGCUUUAUCAUAUUUAAUUUUCUGAAGUAAGUAUCAUUAUCCCAUGUUACAGACAGAAUAACUGAGUGUUAAUGUCACAGCUCUAGAAACUGGUAAAACUGCAUCUGGAAAUUUGCUUGUCUUCAAAGUCUGUGCUAUUAACACAGUGCUUAAUUUAGCUGAUUUUAAAGAAGCUAAAUAAAACCAACUGUAAAAUAAAUUGAAAUAUGAUUUGACUGCAUGUCAGAGCAUGCUCCUUCAUCUGGAACAGAAGCAUUGUCAUGCUAGGUAUUAUUAGUGUAUACCUUGUUUUCGCUAGUAAAAUUGCACCUUGACUGAGGGCUGUAGUUCCUGGUCUAUCUUGAAAAUCAGUCUGAAUAAUAUCCUAGGAAAUCUAACUAUCUUUUCAGCUGCAUUUGCAGGAGGAUAAGGUUUUCAUUUUUAUGUGACAGAAAAUGCUAUCACAUCAAUAUCCAAGGAGUACUCUGUUAAAUUGUCUUAAUUUUUUAAUGCCUUCAUUUGGCAGAAAACUUAUUUAUGUCACACUUCCAUUUGGCCUUUCCCAGGUAACCUAUUCAACCUCUGAGAAAUACAUCAGCAAGUAGGAAAAAUGGCCUAGCAAAUUACUUAUUCCCCAAGGGAAAAGCAUGUGGCCAAUGAAUCAGGGGAAACUGAUUGCCCAGGGAAGGGAACACUCAAGGCGUUUCAAUAUGAGUCACCAAACAUAAGGACUACCCCAUGAUCAAAAAAGGUGAAUGAACAAAGCCAGGAUUCCUUUUAGAGUUUCCAUCGAUGCAAUCAGCAUGGGAUUGUUCCCACACAGGCUGGUGAGGCCUGUCGUGUAAAGAAUGAGGGUUUGUCACUAAAGUACCCAAAGGGAUGCUCUGUCAGAGAAGAGGCUCCAAGUAGGCAUGGAGGGCCUAGGGCCUGGGAAGCAGCACUGGGUGGGUGGGAAAGGUAUUUGGAAGAUCAGCAUCACAUUGAUGGUCCAAUUGGGGAAAAGGCCUGGAGUCCGGGAGCAGAAGUAUGUGGAGACACGCAUAGUUACAGAGCUGGCAGGAGAUGUUGGCUGGACUAGAUGUCAGAGGACCUCAUUCCUACAAGAACUGGGAGAGCAAAUCUGGGACUUAUUCUUGGAGGAAGUGGAAUAUUUAGGGUUUUAGGAAGGCAGAUACUUGGACAAAAAAACUGACUCACUGGGGUGUAAGGGGAAGGCUUGUUUCUAGAAACUAUAUGUCUGUUUUGCUUAUUGCUAUAUUGUUUCCAAGAGGAGGCCCUCUGCUUGGCACAUGGGAGGUAAUUAAGUGUUUGUUGAGUGAAUAAAUGAGGCAUAAGGCAGACACCCAGUUUCAGAAUGUAGGGCACGUGGUGAAAGCAGGUCUCUGAGUGGGGUUGACUUGAUGCCGACUCACCUGAGCAAUGACUAAGGACAUGGUUAUUGCAGAGCCUCGGGUGGGGCUGAAGCUGCAGGUGGCAUGUGCAGUGUCUGGGUGCAGGGCAUAUGUGGGAGAAAUUAGGAGGAUGAGGAGUAGGCAGGAAGCUCCUUACUCAUUCUAUGACAGCUUUACACAUUAUUGAUCUUCACUUUUGAUCAAAUAUAAUGAAAAUGUUUCCUGACUUUCCAUGGAACUUCUUACUAAGGAAGUCACAUGUCCCAAAUGCCCAGGAUUCACAAUCUUAUGAGCUACCAUUUAGUUUCCAUUUAUUUGCUUGCUAUGUGGCUGGUACUGUGAUGAGUUCAGUAUAGUCAAUAUCUCUAUUCCUCCCCGUAAUCCUUAGAGGUACUACUUUGCUUAUAAAGUCCCAGCUGCUGCUGCUGCUGGUGGUAUCUGCACCACAUGUGGAGAAGCAAGAAUCUACAGCAGGGUUGGCCAGAUAGUAAAUAUUUCCAGCUUUGUGGGCCAUAUGGUCUCUGUCACAUCUCUUCAUCUCUGCCACUGAAGUUCGAAGGCAGCCAUAGAUAAUACAUGGAUAAAUGAGUGUGGCUGUGUUCCAAGAGAACUUUAUUUAUGGACACUGAAAAUUGAGUUUCAUAUAAUUUUCAUAUGGCACAAAGUAUUUUUUAAUUUUUUUCAACCAUUGAAUAUGUAAAAAAAUUAGUUAAUGGGCCAUAGUUCCCUGACCCCCAGUCUAGAAAAUUCAGUGGCCUUGAUCCCAAAGUGUUGAAGAGCAUCCCAAAGAGGAUAGCCCAGGUUCUGAGAUUUUGUGAAACCACCACCAACCAAAACAGGUGGCAGGCAGGUGACUAACAUGAGGGAGCACCUCAUCUAGAGCGUGGGGCCAGAUUUGCCUGUGACAGCCUUUGUCACUUCCAGCAGGGUGACACAACAAAGUUUUUAAUGUCUUAGUACCUUAAUUUCCUCAUGUCCAAAGUGAGGCUAAAAACAGGGUGAUUGUGACAAGAAAAAGAAAUUAGUUAAUGCAGGGAAAGCGUUUGUGAUACCUGACAGAGAUGAAUUACAAGGUUAGACUUACAAUCUUAGCAUCACUGACUGAAGCAGGCUGUGAGGACAAGAGUCCCUCAGAACCUGACUGGACCUCAGAGCCAACCCACUCAAAGAUGACCUGAGAGAGAAUUUGCUGAUCGCUACACUGCAGUUGUCAACAGUCAUACAAUUUUGAGGACAAUUCUUUGAGGAAUUCAGAAUGAAGUUCAGUUCUAUAAAGGGCAGGUAAGGUCAGUGCAGAGUUCUUAUGAAGAUGCCUUUAUAGGGCAGGCAGCAGAAACCCUCAGGAGAACUGUUGGCAAGGCACAAGGACACGGUUGGUAUUAAAGUAAUCAGAGCAAUGAAUAUAGCUGACAGUUAUAUAGCAUUUAUUAAUAUCCUCUGCUUGGCAAUGGUCUAGUGUUUUCUAAGCAGAAAAUAUGUAGGUUUAGUUUACCCCCAUGAUCACUUUGUAAAGUAAGCACUAUUAUUAAACCCAUUUAAUAGAUAAGGCAACUGAGACUGAGAGGGUAAAUAAUAUGCCCAAAGCCAUGCUUUCUUUAAGUGGCAGCACAAUCUGGCUGCUGCAUCCUUGUUCUUAGUCUCCAGGCUGACAGUCUUUACCCCAGGCUCUCUAGGUCCUCGGAUAAAAUUAGCUUGGCCAGACUUGGGGACGGUGGGAUCAGGGAUUUCCUUCCAGGGAGCAAAUGGGGCUCUGGGGAUUUGCAAUACUUUUAUGUCACUAGGUUAUGACGGGUAGCAAAUAUGAUUCAUGUGCAAAUGGAAAUAACAGUUUUUGCCUUUGUAUUUCACAUUUACUAACCUCUCUAGCCAGAGUCCUGGUCUAGUCACACAGCAUACUGUACAAGUUCAGACUGUAUCCUGCAUUUUGAUGUAGAUUCAUUUUCAGAAGCGGGUAGGGGUGGCACACAUAUUUUUGUCUCUUUUCUGUGUGGGUGAUGACCCUGGCCUCAUAUGUGGACUGUGCACAGACAAUAUGAAACAGAAAGGUGCCCGUUAUGGAUCAGAAGGAAAUGCCACUUGAACCAGGGCUCCUGAAAUUAGUGCCUCUGAUUACUUGGAUCCUAUGAGUCUAUAGAAAACUUUGGGUGAUUCCCCACAUCAUGACUGUUGUUUUUUCCCAUCAGUAAUCUAAAAAGAGUUUUAGACUUUUUUUUUCUGUUUUAUCUAGCAAUUAAACAGAUCUUCUAAAACUGGAUUUGGGAAAGGAAUUUUUAAUAAGGGUAUUCCCAACUGCAUAUACCUCAGAGGAUUUGCACUGGAAAAUUGGUCUCA